GAUGAAGAGCGCAGCGAAAUGCGAUAAGUAAUGUGAAUUGCAGAAUUCAGUGAAUCAUCGAAUCUUUGAACGCACCUUGCACUCCUUGGUAUUCCGAGGAGUACGCCUGUUCGAGUGUUAUGAAGCUCUCAAAACGCAAUUGGCUUAAAACCUGAUUGUUGUUUUGGAUUUGAACUUUGCCGUGUUAUAACGGCUGGUUUUAAAAGUAUUAGCUGGUACUAGAACGAAUUGGUUCUACUCAACGUGAUAAUUAUCUGAUCGUUGAGGACAUUCCUUUCACGAGGAAUGGCCAUAGUAAAUUCAAUGGACUGCUUCUAAUCUGGCUUUAAUUCUUUAUUGGAUUAACCACUUUUCAAAUCUGACCUCGAAUCAGGUGGGACUACCCGCUGAACUUAAGCAUAUCAAUAAGCGGAGGA
This 416-nucleotide unclassified non-coding RNA is filed under the name soil metagenome. RNAcentral describes it as "partial contains 5.8S ribosomal RNA, internal transcribed spacer 2, and large subunit ribosomal RNA". The stretch from base 1 to 120 matches the Rfam family "5.8S ribosomal RNA", at positions 35 to 154 of the family's 154-position model. The record is from RNAcentral.